Non-coding RNA from Microcebus murinus (gray mouse lemur), 425 nucleotides. NCBI's taxonomy places the organism in Eukaryota, Metazoa, Chordata, Mammalia, Primates, Cheirogaleidae. The record is from RefSeq and is a predicted model, not a curated record.
GUUCAUUGCCACUGAGAGCCCAUUCUCCCCGCCACCAACCGCACACCCCACCAGGCACGCACGGGGGCUCAGCGGGCGAACUGAGUUUGACAGGCAGCAACACUGUGCUGACAACUGGGGUGUGGUGAUUUAAAAACAACGACGAUGACGACGACAACAAAACAACAGAACAGGUCAUUGCAAGCUGCACUACCCCAGCCAAAUCAUGAGAAAUUUAGAGUGAGUCAGGGGACAAAAUAGUAAAGAGUCUGGAUGCACAUUGGAGAGGCCACUAGGAGAUAGCAACACCCAACAUCAGCUCCGUCCUCAUGGAGUUUAAUAAUCUAGUGGGAGAAGCAGACCCUUGGAGCCAGCCCAGCUGUGUCCCAUCGGUUUCAAGGAAUUAGGGCCCAGCUGUCAGUAUUUUUUUAAAUGCUCUGCAAGGU